GUGCCUGAAGGUGCCACCAUUGGAGGGAUAGGAAGGAAAGUGACAGGAAGACGGUGCCGGAAAGCUGGGGAGCUAAGGAAGAAUGCUGGAGGAAGAAGAAAGCUCGCGCGUUGAGGAAGAAGGAUGUGAGCUCGAAAGGGAAAUACGGGAUGUGCUGAUAUUUAAAGGGGGUCUGAGGAGGGGUAAAAAUGGAAUUUUUACCGUGCCGGCGUUUCGAGUUUUUCGGGAGUAGUGGUUGUCGUGGGCGCCCGUUUCGAAAAGACUGCAAUCAUUUGGUUGAAAACCGUGAAACGGAAGGAUAUUUUCAUUGCGGCUGUUUCGGAGGGGAAGUUGAAAAGAAUUUCGAAGUAAAGACUAUGUUUUACUCCGAAACUGGGGGGCAUGUGUUGACGCCAGAUUUCGACACAAAUAAAAUCGGCGUCAGGAGAGGAAGAAAUUAGAAGAUACAGUGAUAGUGCAGGGGCGACAAUUGGAAAUCGGCCGAAUGGCGCUACAGUUAAAGAUCGGUUGGUUGGUGUUACAGUCAAGGAUCGACCGAUUGAUGCUACAGUCGGGGAUCGGUCGAUUGAUCUUUAGAAUUCCGUCUCGCUUGACUCCUAGGGUUUGGGAUCGGACGCGCCCGGUUCCCGAUCGGGUACCCCUUGCCGAUGAAGAAAUCGGCCGAUUAGGAGGUUGGAAUAGUUGGGCCGGUAUGGGCUUAGAAAGGAUUGUAAAGAUGAAGAGUGAAUUAGCCCAGGAAGCGCAUAAUAAUCAACCUAGUACGAGUUGUACUUGUAAAUAUUCGUUUUCUAUUUGAAUUAGGGAUAGAGUUCUAGUCAGAUAAGGAGUCGUCUGUACGGGGCUAUAAAUAGCCACCUUUGUAGAUCUGUAAUCAUCAACAACUCAAUACAACAAACUACUAUUUCCUCGUACUUACUUUAAAGCAGGCGACUUCGCCAAUACUUUUCUUCUUUUUCACGAGUUCGUACGGGUUGGCAGGGCUGCAUCAACUUGACCUCCGGCCAAUCUUGUAAGUUCCGCUUAUCGAGUAAAUUCUAAGCUUUAACUUCGGGCGCAUCGCUGUCGUUUCGUUUAGAUUUAUUCAUCAGUUAUCGAUAUUUACUAGAAUUCUAGGUUUUACCUGUUGUUCUAGUUUUAUCACCAGUUAUCCAGCUAGGAAUCGGCAAUUUCAGCUUUUCUC
This 1180-nucleotide long non-coding RNA is filed under the name Setaria viridis. Its description in RNAcentral is "long non-coding RNA (SVIR_LNC001165)". The record is from RNAcentral. Lineage: Eukaryota; Viridiplantae; Streptophyta; Magnoliopsida; Poales; Poaceae.